GACUAGUAUAGGACAGUGGUUUGAGCACUGGACUAGGACUCUGGAGACUGGGGUUCAAAUCCCUGCUCAGCCA
This is a non-coding RNA of Phrynosoma platyrhinos (Desert horned lizard), 73 nucleotides long. Lineage: Eukaryota; Metazoa; Chordata; Lepidosauria; Squamata; Phrynosomatidae. The record is from the annotation of a GenBank genome assembly.